RNAcentral lists this long non-coding RNA (360 nucleotides) under Homo sapiens (human). Its description in RNAcentral is "non-protein coding LINC01224:16". Lineage: Eukaryota; Metazoa; Chordata; Mammalia; Primates; Hominidae. The record is from RNAcentral.
UGUAACGUAUCCCUAAUUGAGCACCCAGGUGGUGUGACACUUCUGCCCUGUCCCUGCCCUCAGAGGAGAUUCUGACAUAUCACUGCCCCAAAAUGCAGCACCUGAGUAAUUUGACUCUCCUGCCUGGACCCAGCGUACAGAUGGGAUUGUGCUUCAUUGCUGGACCCAGCAUUUAGGCCCACUACCUAUGAGAUUGCAUGCUCCUGCCUGGGCUGUGCCCACAGUGACCUUGUGACAUAUAUCUGCAUCCAUGACCUAAAAGAUGUGACACUUCUUGCCUGCAACCUGCCCUGCACAGGAAAGAUUGCGACUUCUCCCUGGAAGCAGACACCAGGUCAUACAGAAUUGCCACCCUCCAAC